Non-coding RNA from Chelonoidis abingdonii (Abingdon island giant tortoise), 108 nucleotides. The record is from RefSeq and is a predicted model, not a curated record. Lineage: Eukaryota; Metazoa; Chordata; Testudines; Testudinidae.
UGCCACAUCAGUCAGUGUCAGUGAGCAGCAUGACACUACUUUAACCCUGUGCAGGCACCUUGUGGGGCCAGAGCUGCUAGCACUAAGGUGCCCCGACAAGGCAAGGCA